GCUUGCUUUCUUUGCUGGCGACCGGCGCACGGGUGAGUAACACGUAUCCAACCUACCCUUUACUCGGGGAUAGCCUUUCGAAAGAAAGAUUAAUACCCGAUGGCAUAAUGAUUCCGCAUGGUUUCAUUAUUAAAGGAUUCCGGUAAAGGAUGGGGAUGCGUUCCAUUAGGUUGUUGGCGGGGUAACGGCCCACCAAGCCUUCGAUGGAUAGGGGUUCUGAGAGGAAGGUCCCCCACAUUGGAACUGAGACACGGUCCAAACUCCUACGGGAGGCAGCAUG
Molecule: ribosomal RNA, 280 nt
Filed under: uncultured bacterium
Lineage: Bacteria
Description: partial 16S ribosomal RNA
Rfam family: Bacterial small subunit ribosomal RNA
Source: RNAcentral